AAACCAACAGGGAUUGCCUCAGUAACGGCGAGUGAAGCGGCAAGAGCUCAAAUUUGAAAUCUGGUACUUUCAGUGCCCGAGUUGUAAUUUGAAGAUUGUACUCUGGAGUUGGCCCUUAUCUAUGUUCCUUGGAACAGGACGUCACAGAGGGUGAGAAUCCCGUGCGAUGGGGAGCCCGAUUCCAUGUAGAGUGCUCUCGAAGAGUCGAGUUGUUUGGGAAUGCAGCUCUAAGUGGGUGGUAAAUUCCAUCUAAAGCUAAAUAUUGGCGAGAGACCGAUAGCGAACAAGUACAGUGAUGGAAAGAUGAAAAGAACUUUGAAAAGAGAGUGAAAAAGUACGUGAAAUUGUUGAAAGGGAAGGUUAUUAGAUCAGACUUGGUGUUUGGCGAUAUUCAGUCUCUCGUAGACUGUUCACUCGCCCUUCACUGGGCCAGCAUCGGUUUGGUGGCAGGAUAAAUCAUUAGAAUGUAGCUACCUCGGUAGUGUUAUAGCUUUUUGGAA
Molecule: ribosomal RNA, 500 nt
Filed under: uncultured Pichia
Lineage: Eukaryota; Fungi; Ascomycota; Saccharomycetes; Saccharomycetales; Saccharomycetaceae
Description: eukaryotic LSU rRNA
Rfam family: Eukaryotic large subunit ribosomal RNA
Source: RNAcentral